ACACACACACACAUACAGACAAUAAGUUUUAUUCCUAUCUUUAUUCAAGAGCGCAUUCUUUCAAUUUGAGAGCAUUUCUCACUGAUAUUACAUGCAGAUUUUGUGAUAAUUUCCCUCCAAACCUCUA
Long non-coding RNA from Etheostoma cragini (Arkansas darter), 127 nucleotides. RefSeq lists it as uncharacterized. Lineage: Eukaryota; Metazoa; Chordata; Actinopteri; Perciformes; Percidae. The record is from RefSeq and is a predicted model, not a curated record. The transcript has 3 exons.